RNAcentral lists this ribosomal RNA (584 nucleotides) under Pseudomonas sp. StFLB241. RNAcentral describes it as "bacterial SSU rRNA". It matches the Rfam family "Bacterial small subunit ribosomal RNA", at positions 102 to 682 of the family's 1533-position model. The record is from RNAcentral. Lineage: Bacteria; Pseudomonadati; Pseudomonadota; Gammaproteobacteria; Pseudomonadales; Pseudomonadaceae.
ACGGGUGAGUAAUGCCUAGGAAUCUGCCUGGUAGUGGGGGAUAACGCUCGGAAACGGACGCUAAUACCGCAUACGUCCUACGGGAGAAAGCAGGGGACCUUCGGGCCUUGCGCUAUCAGAUGAGCCUAGGUCGGAUUAGCUAGUUGGUGAGGUAAUGGCUCACCAAGGCGACGAUCCGUAACUGGUCUGAGAGGAUGAUCAGUCACACUGGAACUGAGACACGGUCCAGACUCCUACGGGAGGCAGCAGUGGGGAAUAUUGGACAAUGGGCGAAAGCCUGAUCCAGCCAUGCCGCGUGUGUGAAGAAGGUCUUCGGAUUGUAAAGCACUUUAAGUUGGGAGGAAGGGCAUUUACCUAAUACGUAAGUGUUUUGACGUUACCGACAGAAUAAGCACCGGCUAACUCUGUGCCAGCAGCCGCGGUAAUACAGAGGGUGCAAGCGUUAAUCGGAAUUACUGGGCGUAAAGCGCGCGUAGGUGGUUUGUUAAGUUGAAUGUGAAAUCCCCGGGCUCAACCUGGGAACUGCAUCCAAAACUGGCAAGCUAGAGUAUGGUAGAGGGUGGUGGAAUUUCCUGUGUAGCGGU